Eublepharis macularius is the source of this 901-nucleotide long non-coding RNA. RefSeq lists it as uncharacterized. Lineage: Eukaryota; Metazoa; Chordata; Lepidosauria; Squamata; Eublepharidae. The transcript has 3 exons. The record is from RefSeq and is a predicted model, not a curated record.
UAUGAAGACACUGAGUGCCAUUCUCAUUGUGGGCUUCCUAGUCCUUUUGGCAGAGAUGCAGCCAGCGUCUGGUCUAAGCAUACCAUACGAGAAACCUGGACGCUGUCCAGUAGUUUAUGGAAGAUGCAGGAUAUUCAACCCUCCUAAUUACUGCACGUAUGACAUUGAUUGUGUAGGGGCAAGAAAAUGUUGUGAAACAAUAUGUGGGAGAGACUGCGUCAAUCCAGUAUAAAUUCUUGCUUCACUGAUGGAUACCUCACACAAGCAAAAAAUAUCUCAUGUUCAUGUGAAUGGGAAUCACCAGCCAACGAACCACAGUUGCAGAAGACAACUCCAGCUGAAUGCGUCAUUGAACUGGAUCUUCAGCAGUAACCCCUCCAGCCUGAACUCCAGGACGAAGCACGCAAUGGUGGAAGGGACAGUCAGUAACUAUUUCUUGGCUUUGAUCUGAAGAGGGGAAAUUAUAAACUCCAGUAAUCUCAACUUCCAAGUAAAUACACAUUACCUAUUAAUGUAGCUUUUAGGAUAACACUCUGUGGAUGAACUAUACUACAUAAAACCUAAAUCAUACUGAUACAAUCUUUUCAUGUUCACCUUUUGCAAAAACAAAUAAAAAACAAAAAAACACUUUUGUGUUUUACUGGGUUCCUAUUGAAAUGCUUGUCCAAUUUUCCCCAGCACUGAGGAAAAAAUCUGAGAAAUUUUCAAUCUGAAAUUUAUUACAGAGAUUCAGCAUCCUAUUAGAAUAUUAUUUCUCCAAGCCAUAAGAGGAAAACAGCUUAGUUUUCAUUCAUGUGUUUCUACAAGGGAAUUAACUUUGUGUAAAAGAGAGUUUUUCAGUGAAAGAAUCUAGUAUCUUAAUUCUCUUUGAAUGCUAUACUUGGAAGUAUUUGAAUAUGUA